RNAcentral lists this ribosomal RNA (253 nucleotides) under uncultured bacterium. Its description in RNAcentral is "partial 16S ribosomal RNA". It matches the Rfam family "Bacterial small subunit ribosomal RNA", at positions 524 to 776 of the family's 1533-position model. The record is from RNAcentral.
UACGGAGGGUGCAAGCGUUAUUCGGAAUGACUGGGCGUAAAGCGCACGUAGGCGGUUUGCUAAGUCUGAUGUGAAAUCCCUGGACUCAAUCCAGGAAGUGCAUUGGAUACUGGCAGACUAGAGGACAGGAGAGGAGAGCGGAAUUCCAGGUGUAGAGGUGAAAUUCGUAGAUAUCAGGAGGAACACCGGUGGCGAAGGCGGGUCUCUGGGCCGAUACUGACGCUGAGGAGCGAAAGCGUGGGGAGCGAACAGG